GAAUUAUGUGGCUCCUUCAUGUACUUUUUGAUUGAACAGUGAUAACUCAGAUAAUACAUUAUCCCGUGCCCCUCUCUGAGAGGAACCUGCCUUUUUUUUUUUUUUUUUUUCUUUUUUUUUUUUUUUUUUUUUUUUUUAACAGAGCAGUGAAAGAAGACUUCAUAGAGGCAUUUAAAGUGACAUCACCAUGCCAAUCCCAACUUACUACAACCGGCGAGAAGCAACUGCUAGACCAGAUUAAAUACGACGAAGGAACACUGGGUCC
This 265-nucleotide long non-coding RNA is filed under the name Canis lupus familiaris (dog). RNAcentral's name for it is "lncRNA (ENSCAFG00845021699.1)". Lineage: Eukaryota; Metazoa; Chordata; Mammalia; Carnivora; Canidae. The record is from RNAcentral.